Molecule: long non-coding RNA, 906 nt
Organism: Dreissena polymorpha
Lineage: Eukaryota; Metazoa; Mollusca; Bivalvia; Myida; Dreissenidae
Exons: 5
Source: RefSeq, a predicted model, not a curated record
GUGACCGAGUUUAUCCACUUUUUGAAGUAUGAAACUGAGCAUAGCCACAUUGCCUUGGAUAAAAUAUAUUUCUGCACGUCCAAACCCGAAUUAUUGCAAUCACUGACAGAAGCGAUACAGCAAAAAAGUGCGUCAACCACAAUCGAUUGCGAUCAGCCCACUUCGCUUGCACAGGUGGAAUCUUCAUCUGCAACAACAUACUCUGAUAAACUGUUAGUUACAGGACUUUCAAAAGAGACACAAGAAACUGAUAUGGAGCAGUUUCUUUGCAGGCAUACAGGACACAAACUGAAAACCGGUUCGAUGUUAUUUCAUGCGACUAGAACCGACACGGCUAUGGUCACAUUUGACAAUGCAUUUGAAUAUCAGUCUAUCGUAGAUAAGUGUAAAUCCCAUAAAUUACACGGAUGCGAACUACGAUUUUCAAAAGUGCAAGUUGAAUACUGCGUUAUCCUUUCAAAACUGAAGGAAACGGUGAACGAAGAAAUGAUUUUAUCGUACUUUAACCGAAAUGGACCAAUUGUUCAUAAAGUAGACGUGAAACAGAGGAAGGGGCGUUGUUUAGUUUUCUUUGAUAAAGAAACUGAUGCAAACGAAGCUCUGUGUACCGAACAUAAUUUCGGCGGACAAACUGUGACCGUUCAUCGAUAUUUUACUAGCAUUGAGCGCAGUGAACCUGACAUAAUUAGCUGCAAGCGGAUACAUGGUUUAACUGUGUGCGUUUCGCAUGGAAAUUGGAGCGAGAUGAGAUUUGACAAAAUAGAAAAACAUAGUUUUAAAGGUAUUACCGUUACCAACUACGGACUGCAAUACUUCCACGCACAAUGUUUUUGGAAACCGUCUUUGAAUAUUGAGAAAGUAAUCAACUUGGCGGCAAAAGGUCCUUUUAAGUCGAUUGGGUUCAUU